This is a long non-coding RNA of Clarias gariepinus (North African catfish), 404 nucleotides long. RefSeq lists it as uncharacterized. The record is from RefSeq and is a predicted model, not a curated record. NCBI's taxonomy places the organism in Eukaryota, Metazoa, Chordata, Actinopteri, Siluriformes, Clariidae. The transcript is spliced from 3 exons.
AGAACGUUGUAGAGUGAACAAGAGGUGUUAAGGGAAUGGAAAAGGGGAAUUUAAAAAUACCCAUCAGGGGGUCACGUGACAAAGGAACGAACGACUCGGACCAGAAAAUAUGACUCUCUUUGUUAUUAGUAGUCGCUGAAUUGCUAAACGUCCCCGACCCUGAACCCUUAAGGGUUACCACAGCAGGCCGAUCGGAAACCUCUGAACAAACUUUGAACCGGCCUAAAAGCGACACCUUCCUCUUCAAGCUCAAGGUGAACCAGAGAGGUUAAGCGAACUCGUCGUCGUCGGAGAACUUUACCGUCAUCCUCUUCAUCCUCCUCUUCAUUAGCCCCUUACGAGAGUCAUAGACGAAGAAGAUAAAGAAGAAGAUCGAGCCACAGGAGCGUUUUCAGGCAGGAUCG